RNAcentral lists this ribosomal RNA (468 nucleotides) under uncultured bacterium. RNAcentral describes it as "partial 16S ribosomal RNA". It matches the Rfam family "Bacterial small subunit ribosomal RNA", at positions 28 to 507 of the family's 1533-position model. The record is from RNAcentral.
GAUGAACGCUGGCGGCGUGCUUAACACAUGCAAGUCGAACGGAAAGGCCGAAGCUUGCUUCGGUACUCGAGUGGCGAACGGGUGAGUAACACGUGGGUGAUCUGCCCUGUACUUCGGGAUAAGCUUGGGAAACUGGGUCUAAUACCGGAUAUGACGAUCUCUUGGAUGGGGUUGUGGAAAGCUUUUGCGGUAUGGGAUGAGCUCGCGGCCUAUCAGCUUGUUGGUGGGGUAAUGGCCUACCAAGGCGUCGACGGGUAGCCGGCCUGAGAGGGUGUACGGCCACAUUGGGACUGAGAUACGGCCCAGACUCCUACGGGAGGCAGCAGUGGGGAAUAUUGCACAAUGGGCGCAAGCCUGAUGCAGCGACGCCGCGUGGGGGAUGACGGCCUUCGGGUUGUAAACUCCUUUCGCAAUCGACGAAGCCUUUUGGUGACGGUAGGUUGAGAAGAAGCACCGGCUAACAACGUG